Apis cerana (Asiatic honeybee) is the source of this 1726-nucleotide long non-coding RNA. RefSeq lists it as uncharacterized. The record is from RefSeq and is a predicted model, not a curated record. NCBI's taxonomy places the organism in Eukaryota, Metazoa, Arthropoda, Insecta, Hymenoptera, Apidae.
GGUUAGGGUGGGUCUCCAAAGCAGCAACCUCCACGCGGUGAGACCUGGGUCAGUAUUAUUUGCUGUGCUAAUUAUUAAUUGUAUCACGAUCGAUGUAACUGUCGUAUAGCAAAUAAUACUAGCUAAUUGGCUGCAAUCGCGAUUAUUUUUUUAUACAAAGCAUGUUAGGAAUUAAGAAGUUAAUUUUUCAUAAAAGUUUUGUUGCCAUUUGUAUUAGUAGCAUGUUAUUAUAGUUAGUAAGAAAUGAUAGCAUGUAAGAAUUUAAAUAUAAGACAUUUUGUAAUACACAUUAUAUUGCGUUGGUAAUAAGGCGUAAAAAAUGUAAAUUUUGUGCAUUGUUGGUAAGUUGCCAUCUAACGAGAUAAACCAAUAUAUAAUGUACGUGUUGUAUUAUUUGGUGAGGCUUACCGCACUCUCAAGGUAUUAACUUACCAGCAAUGCACAAUACUAACGUUAAUGUUAAUUUAAGAUCGAUAUUUCGGAACACGUUGUACAAACUUCCGUAAGAUGUCAGUAUAUUCCGUUUCUCGUCGGUAAUAACGUGUCGAUAUUUCAGAACUCUCUAACGAAAAUGUAUUACUGUUGUAGAUAAAGCGUCAACAGUCGAUAUAGAAGAAUACUUUGAAAUCUACGAUCGGUAAGAUGUGAAAAGUAGUCGAAGAAUCAUAAUUCUUGGGUAAUCGUACACGAAUUAUAGUUGAAAAUAAUGGACGCAGAUGGAGUUUAACGAGGUUAGUUUCGCGUUACUGUCAUAGAACGAAACAGCUGUUGUCUCGAGUUCGGGGGUGGUAUCUACUGUCAGAUGCUCCGCCUAUAAAUCAACCGAGCUCAUGGGGGAGACAGGCCGACGCCAUGUUAACAUACAUAAACAAACCUUGCGCGCCCUAACUGAUAAACGGCGAAAGCUGCGCGCAACAAGCGAUCGUACGCGAAUAAAAUAAAUCUCGCGUAAGUACUUUAUCUUUUUUUUUUUUUUUUUUUUUUUUCAUGAAAUUCGGCGAAACGAUGGAAAGUCAAGUUUUUGAAGGAAAUUAUCGAGAUCAAUUUAAAAAAAAUAUCGCGAGAAAUUGUUUUAAGCGAAAUUGUCGCGAUCGAAAGAAAUGCAGACAAUGAAAUAUGUACGAAGUGUCUAUUCACAGUUAGAAGCUUCACGAAGAAAAAUUAAACAGGCUGCUAGGAAUAAUUAAUAAAUGUCAAUCAGUUCCGUGGAAUCGAAGGUGUCGGUGGAGAGAAGUACCAGCUAAAAUGAUUUUAUGCCUGUCUUAUGAACAAUCUAAUGUUACCCGACCAAUGGACAAAGAUCAUAGGACGGCUAAUGGUCGAAGACUCGUCCGUCUCGAAGACCCGAGACUAAUCAGCGCGAGCAUUAAUCAUCCCCGUGGAUCCUCGACCCAAUUUUCGUUUCAGUUUCAGAACGCGAUCACCACAAUUCUACGAUUUUCUCAACGGUUCUCAACUUCGACGCAAAGCGAAUCUCAUUUUAUUCUACGCAAAUUCGAUUUCCAUACUAGAUGUUAAAAUGGAAAAAUCGAAAAAGCUGUGCACUUUCCACUACGAUUCUCAGCUUCUUCCAGCACAAAGCGAAAAGUUUCCUCGCUAUCAAAUGACGAAAUCCACUUUACUUUUCAACUUCUUCCACCACAAAGCGAAAGAUUAUUUUAUUCUACGCAAAUUCGAUAUUAAAUAAGGUAUUAAAACCAAAAAAUGAAAAUAUUCAUUCAAGAUU